CCGAGUUUACAACUCCCAAACCCCUGUGAACUUUACCUAUCGUUGCUUCGGCGGGAUCGCCCCGGCGCCCUUCUCCGCCCGGAACCAGGCGCCCGCCAAAGACCUAAACUCUGUCUUUUAUAGCGUAUUCUGAGUGGCAUAAGCAAAAAUGAAUCA
This 156-nucleotide unclassified non-coding RNA is filed under the name uncultured Orbiliaceae. RNAcentral's name for it is "sequence contains ITS1". The record is from RNAcentral. Lineage: Eukaryota; Fungi; Ascomycota; Orbiliomycetes; Orbiliales.